RNAcentral lists this long non-coding RNA (694 nucleotides) under Capra hircus (goat). RNAcentral's name for it is "lncRNA (ENSCHIG00000004521.1)". The record is from RNAcentral. Lineage: Eukaryota; Metazoa; Chordata; Mammalia; Artiodactyla; Bovidae.
UCCGUGUAUCUCUACAGCUAUGUCACCAUGGGUCAGCUGUAUGCCUUCAUCACUGGCUGGAACCUCAUCCUGUCCUUAGUCCUUGGCACCGCCGUUUUGGCCAGGGCUUGGAGCUACAUCUUUGACAGCCUCAUUGGGAACCACAUCUCUCAGGCAUUGCAAGGAACUUUCUCUCUGCACAUGCCCCACUUCCUGGCCAAGUACCCAGACUUUCUGGCCUUGGCCCUGGUGCUGCUGCUCAUGGGACUACAGGUUCUGGGAGUUCGUGACUCAGCCCCGUUUAACAAAGCGUUCACGGGCAUCAGCACUUUGGUUCAGAGCUUCAUCAUCCUCUCGGGCUUCAUUAAGGGUGACCUGCACAACUGGCAGCUCACGGAACAGGACUACGCAUCGAACACGUCUGAAUCCAGUGGCACCUCUAGGACUCCACAGUGCCACGUUCCCCAUGUCUCAGGUGAUCUAUGUGAUGGCAGAGGACGGGCUCCUUUUCCGGGGACUUGCCCAGGUCCGUGCCUGCACAGGCGCCCCCAUCGUGGCCAUCAUGUCUUCCGGAAACCUCGCAGGGGUCAUGGCAUUGCUCUUCAAGCUCAGUGAUCUUGUGGACUUCUUGUCAGUUGUGACCCUGCUUGCUUACACUCUCGUGGCAUUUUCCGUCCUUGUCCUCAGGUAAGACUCCACUACACCUUGACCUGGG